GCUAAGCAACGUAUUCACAAAUUUGUACCAACGCGCAAAUGCAUGCACAUCCCACGCGCAGUGUGCAGGCCAUUGACGUGAGAUCUAUUAGUCGUGGCAUGCGGAAAGUCGACACUAGAAAUAACUUUGCAGCUCCAAAGUUGUGACGGGAACUUGCUGCAUCCAAAAUGUCCGUUGUUGUGCCCAACGACAGGGGUGACGGUCUGUCCGUCGUGUCCCCAGCAACGAACACUGCACUGCCAGUGCCCAUGCCGCCGCCGAACUCUCUGCCGGGCGGUACGGUGGUGCCGAGCAGCGGUGUAUUUCUCUCCGCCCCGGCCCCCGUCCCGGUGCCGCUUCCCGUGCAUACACCGCCGAUGAAGAUGGCGGAUCCCAGCAUUGAGAAACAACACCCACCGAUUCCAAACAGCACUGAUUACCUAGCUCAGCUUUUAAACGACAAGAAGUCUCUCUCUGUGUUACCAAACAUGUUUAUGCACGUGGAAAGAAUUAUCGAUGAAGAAAUAAGCAAAGUGCGCAAGAACAUGUACAACAUCAACAAUGACAACACGCCUCUCGUACUUCCAGAACCCCAAGGUGCUCCAAUUACGCUCUCGGAAAAGCUCUACGUACCCGUCAAAACAUACCCAGAUUUUAACUUCGUAGGCAGAAUACUGGGGCCCCGUGGCAUGUAUGCCAAACAACUGGAGAAGGAGACGGGAUGCAAGAUCAUGAUCAGAGGAAAAGGCUCCAUGAGAGACAAAAAGAAGUUGGUCGGGCAGGAGGAGCAGAAUAAAGACAAGCACAACUGGGAACACCUCUCGGAGGACCUACACGUCCUGGUCACCGUGGAGGAUACACCCAACCGGGCCCAGCUGAAGAUGGACCGCGCCAAGGCUGCCAUCAAGAAGCUACUUGUACCCACGGCGGACGGUGAAGAUGAGCUGAAGAAGAGACAGCUGAUGGAGUUGGCCAUCAUCAACGGCACAUUCAGGGACACCUCCAGCAAAAACAGUAGCAAUCCUAGCACGCCUCUUGUUGAAAUUCCGCCUGGUGGCUGCGCAUUCAUACCAGCUUCCCCCCGACCAAUGAUCGCGCCGGGCGCUGCCCUCAUCCCCCAACCACUGCGGUCGCCGACGCCGGCCGCCAACCCGCAGCUCCUCGCCCACCCCCCGGCAGCACUCUUCCCGCGGAUGGCCAGCGGCCAGACCCUCCUUGCCAACAGCGUGGCCCCGCCCAUGGUGUCGACAGCCGAUGGGACCAGCUUCAUGAUCUCUCCCUACGAGCACUACCCAUACGCCGUGACGCCCACCGUGCUCGACUACCCUCCCACGCCGUCUGAGGGUACUAUUGGUGCUGUACCCAAAAUUCGGAGAACAAUCAGGGAACACCCCUAUCAGAGGGUCCUUGAUACACGAGGUAAUGAUAUCCAUUUUCUCACUCUUUUAACUCCUAUUUUAUUGCAUCUGUAUCUCACCCUUGUUUCCCCCCCAACUGUUUUGCCAUAUUUUUUGGGGUGGCUUGUUUGGCUUGAUAUUUCUCUCUUCUCUCUGCGGAUGGUUGCAAUAUAUGUUUCCUCAAACUGAGCACAGAGUUCCAACAUUAAAAUGUUUUUUCUUUAGAGGAGUGUUUGGUUUGAUCACGGUACAUAAAAAAAUAACGCCUGUUUAAUUAUUAACGUUAACAUUUAGUCUGUCAAUACUAAAAAAAAAAUUUUUGCUGGUCGCUACUUUUUUUUUCUGGAUUGCACAGUUCCCAUGAAUAACCAUUAUCACCCAAAGUCGAUUUGUAGAACUAAUCACCAUUUUCAGUCCAUAAUCAAUAUUUAUUCUGACAAAGAGAAUUGUCAAAGAAAUGUCAGUGUCAGGUACUAAUUUCAGCAGAAGUUGUGCAAUUGCAAAAACAUGAUUCUGAAAUUUGUAUUGCAGAUUCCAGAAUUUCUUACAGGACAAUGGGUAAAAAAGAUAUAUCAUUUCAUUUUUUUUUUACAAGUUCUUUGUAAAAGGUGACAUAAGUUGAAACAUGCUUCCAAAUUUUUGAGAACAGUGGAACGUGGCCAGUUCUGUUGUACUCUGUUAUGAAAAUGUAGUCAUUAUUCAAAAGUACUGCAAAUUGAGAUGUUUGACACUGCUUAGAUAUGAAGGUUGGAUAGAAAAACUGUCUGAGUGGUUAUCAUUUGUUCUUCACUGCCCAUGAAAGUUACGUCUAUUGUGAAAUGUUUCUUGCCUUUGCCUUUGUUAAAACACAGACGCUUAUAACGGCAAAUUAGACAUUGUAAACAAUUGAUUGUAUUCAGUUGAUCAUGGCUUGUGAUGGAUUGGUUGUAUCUGAUGUACCCUUAUCUUGUAAAAUCUAUUUGGCAGACUCGUGUACCGUUAGCAAAAAAAAAAAUUGAUUUUGAAAAUGGAACAAAGCAACAUUUUAAUGUGUGGAAUCUGUGCUCCUUAUGAGGUCUUUUCAUGAGCUGAGGUCAGGAGCGGGGCUGAUCACUAAUAUGCAGAACUGAUUUAAAAUGUUGAUGGAUAGAAACAUGGUAGCCUGAGGGGUCCAUCCCAGCCCUGCUCAGUUUAAUUUGGUAAGUACAUGUAGUGUUUCAACCCCCCAAGUGACUCAGAAAUUGUUCAUUUAAAGCUGCCCUCCUGACCUCACUACACGAUUUAUUUCAUUACCAAUGUUUCCCCUUGUUUUGCAGCUGAAUUGCAAUCUUGUGUGAAUUUUUUUUGCAGAGAGAGAGGAAAAUAUUUACGUUGCGUUGGGUCAGAGCACAUUGUUGACCAGAUAUGUUGGUCCAUCCCCCUAGCACUCUGUUGAUUGUCAGACUCCCAGAUAUACAUGUAUGUUGAAUUUCUUGAGGGGAAAAAUUUGCAAUGUGGAGUGAAAUUUGUUCAUCGAACCGAGCAGUAAAAUCUGGUUUGGAUACCUCAAGACACUUUGAAAUAUCUCAUAGUUAUCCCAAAGAUGUCAGAUUGAAAAGAAGAAAAAGUCUGGCAUCAAUAGAGUGCCUGGUGCAUUUCUGUUGAAACAUGCAUUGAUUGUAUUUUUUCAUCAAAAUGGCUGUGCAAAGCCGGGCAAUCACUAGGAAUGCUCGGGGGGAAAGCCGCAAACCCCAGUUCUGGUCUAAUUUAUGUGUGCUUUACUAUAUUGAAACAGUUGUGCUUUUCCGUCCAAAGAAAUGUGCUCUAAUCCAAUAUAUAUCUCUCUCUGACAAUCUUCUUUUUUCUUUCUUUCCGAUUUUUGAACUUGAUUUAUGACAUGUAUUUAAAUAUUAUGGACACAGCUCCAAACUUCUUGCAACAAUAAUGCUAGAGUGUAUACAUUUUUUAAAAAUUACAGACCGUGUAAUCGAUAUUUUUUGUGGUUGAUGUUUUUAGUUCUAAGAAGUUGGGUUUUUAUAUUAUGAAUUAUGGUAUUAUAAGGAAGAAAAGUAGAGCAGAUAUAUAUAUUGUUAUGGUAUGAGAGAUAGCGUCUGUAGCCUAAUGGGGUGUGCUGUUUUAUCAAUUUUGGUGGAAGAGAAGGAUCGUGAAUUGGAUGGCUUAGCCACUUUUUUUGUACAGAAUUUGUAUUUUAUUUAGUGGUAAUAUUUGUAUGAGUAUUUCGUGUGACACGUUUAGGAGGGAGAACUAGAAGGAAGUGGUAUUUUUGCCCAUUUUUGGUUUCAUUUGUUUGUUUGUCUGUCUGUCUGUCGGUUGGUUGGUUGGUUGGCAGGGGAAGCGUGGAGGAAAUAAUUGUUUCACAUACUGCCACAUAUUUUUAAAGUCAGUGCCUCCCUCCCUCCCUUAAAAACAACUUAGGAGAGAAAUUUACCAUUCUGGGACCUCCCAUUCUGGGCCCGAGUGUGUGUUGCCUGCAGUAGUCUUUCAAAAAUAAUUCUCAAGUUGAACGCUAAGUUUAUUGUUGUUCAAAUCGGCUGCACUGGAGGUUGAUUUUUAUUUCCCAAAUGUAUACAUUUGCAUCCACCUUAUGGCAAUAAACUGAAGAUUUACGGAGCAAGCCAGUGAAUGUUUCAGUUCGGUGAAUACUUAGGAAGAAGAAAGGCAUGGAAAGUAGAUGCAAAAGUAAAAAAAAAAAAAGAAUUCUCUUUUUCCACAAAGAAUCACAGUUUUCAGUUUUGCAGCCCAAAUUCACGAAAGACUAUUGUCAGAAUUAUGUGAUUGUUUUUACAGUUUCGUGACUUAAGUUUGUACUCUUUUUUUUUAAAAAGUGCAAUCACCUUUAGACCCUUUUGCUAAUGCACUGAUUGGGGGAAUGGGUCCAAACAGAAAAUGUUCAAGAUGGCUCUGGCUUGGUUGUCGAUUACAAACUGACUAAAGAAGCUUAUUUGCAUGCGAGUUGGUGAUUGAGCAGUCUUACCAGUUUCUAAAAGAGAAACUUGCUUUCAGUGGUUUUCAUACAAGAAGCGAUGCCAUAUGUAUUAGAAAGAGAAACUAAAGCCAAGUUGCCUAUUAAAUGUCAGCGAGCUCACACCUUGGCUUAUGGAUACAACCACAGACGCAUGCGUGAUAUCCAUUGAAGUCACCGCUGCUGUAGGAAUCAGGUCUGGGUUUCUUGCUUCCACCAGCUAGGAAAAAAAUCUGGCUAAGCUAAUUUAGCCUGCUGUGUAAAUUACUUGCAGAGUACCGGAUUACUUGCAGAGUACCGGCUACAGAUAGUAUGUUUUGAAUACUGUUUUGCUGGUAACCAGUUUUACCAAGCAGUCUUUUUUUUCUUUAGCCCUUUGUUCUGGGUGAAAAGCUCACUGACGUUUGCUUGAAAGCUCUGCUGACCUUUUUCUUUUACUUGAGCCUAAUUCAAUAUUCAGCAGGCCUAGAGUACCUCCAGUUUCUGGAAUAUCAAUGCAGUUACCGAAGCCAAGUUAACCAACUUUCUUCAGAAACUUACCAAGUUGAAAAAAAAAGUGUUCAAAUCGGCAAAAAAAAGAACCAAAAGUGGUUGCAGACCAGUUUCUAAACUUUCGAUGAAACCGCAGUGAAAUGCAAAAUGCAGGACAGGCAGUUUCAUCGGCAGUUUUUCAAACUCGGAUCUGGAAGUUUCUCUGAGUGUAUAUCAUCUCGGCGGGUCUUGCAAAUGGCAUUACCGGGAAGGACCUCUCUUGUCCGCAUUUGAAACUAUUGGACAUGAAUACAGUUAGUAUCGGUAGUACAGUAGAAGGAAACAAAACGACUCAACCAAACUAACACUGUUACGAAACUAAGCCACGGAGCCAUGACUUGCGCUUUCCUAACCAAACCCAGAUCAAACUGGUGACCUUUGGCCUAACUCGUGGUAUUUUUUGUCUCUUUGUUUCUCUCUUCUCCUCCUCUUCUCACCGCGCGUGCGUGUGUGUGUGCGUGUGUGUGUACGCCACAUUGGCUUCCCUCUCGCAGAGCUUCCCGGCAUGGUAUUGGGAGCGACUCCUCUCCCAACCCUCUGAUGUCUCGAAAGUCUUGAUGCACCAUGGUACAGUACUGCCUAAUGUUUGAUAUUUCUUUAGAGUACACUGUAUUUCAAACCGUUAAGAAAAAUUAACAUCCAUUGACCAACCGCAGCUGCUCUUAAACAAGGUUGAAUUCCUUUGCUUCUUAAUUAAAAAAGAAAAAAGUUUUUUAUAGCAGGGCUCUUUGAAAUUGCUUAACAUUUUAUUUGGAAAUUUGCCUGUGGGAAAUUGCUGUGGUUUUGAUCUGGAUCUCAACCAAGAUGUUGUUACCACUAGCCAAGAUGAUGUGUGGAGUUUGUUUUCCUCGGCGGAUAUGCAAAAUGACUCUCUUUUAUUAUGCAUGUACACGCCCGUGAUACAGUAUAAAUGCAUCAGGUGCAGAUCUGUAAGGCUUUGUGCACCUUGCAAUUAUGUAUCAGGUCGAUGCAAAUUCUGCUUUACUAUGUGAGAACUGUACGAGGCAUAUUGCAAUUGACAGUUGUAGAGAGUUUCAGAGAUCAACCGAACUCCCAUCGCAGCGACUCAUCCGCGGUGGUCACGCAUCCGGCAAAAUGCCUCUAAGUCUCCAUUCAUACUUCAUGAGAAGUUCAGAAAUCACCAAAUGAACAGUUAAUCCCUUCAAGUACGUCCUUGCGCCUUGGGGGCCAGUUGUAGGGAGCGUCUCCCACAAUGAAAUAUUCAACAAUGAAGUAAGGUCGCUAAUGGGCUAAUUCCGGUAAUUUGAGCAUUGCAAAGCAGGAAUUCCAUAUAUGAUUAAUCAGCCGAUCCUGGUGGGGGGGAGGGAACUUACCUGAAGCUGACUUUCAUCAGAUAAUUUUCCUCUCUGUCUCCACCUUCACUCGAAAAGUUUUGUGAAAAAUGCACUCUGCUGACGUUUCAAGUUUGUUGGACAACAGGUUGUACUCAUGUUAUAGAAACUGGCCCCCCCAAAAUCUUGUGUUCGUAUCUGUGCACAUGUGUGCAGACUGGUUUAUCCCAUCUGUUUCGGGGUCACAAAUACAUCUCCAGUGUGGAAUUGGUCAAUGGAUGGCUUUUUUUAGACCCCAAUAUCCAUGAUGCGGUCAGUACUGUGUUGUAAAUACGAUCUUUUUAUAUAAUCAAUGGUUCAACGGUAUGUACUUACUAUCACCCAUGUAAACUUUGACCUAUAUAUGCAACUUGUUAAAACCCUGCAGUGCCUGUUUUUAUUGAAGCAAUUUGUACUUAUGUGUUGACGGAUUUUAACAGGAAAUAUUUUGUAUCAAGUAUUACUUUUUGUGUACUCCACAUCAGGGCAUUAAUUUCUUUUGUAUUAUUUUCUGUUUAUUUUGGGCUUUUUUUUUAUUUUGUAAAAUCAGUAAGCUUUUAAAUGGUAAUUUUGUGAAGGAUACAGAGAGUCGUUUGUAGCAACAUGAAUGUGACAAUGCCAGUUAUUGGACUAGUUUUUUUUCUCUCACUUAGACAUGUUACCACUGCUUAAAAUCCAGAAAACUUCCUUUGUGGCUUGUUUGCAGACAAGCUUUGAGGAGAAGAAAUGUCAGAACUUCAGUUCCAAAAAAUGAAGUUUCAACUUCAAAAAGCCAAACAGCAACUCAACACCCAACUCUCUUCCCAUUGUCUCAGGUUUUGAUCUUGGUUUCAUGUAGAAUUUCUUUACUCCACAUGCACUCACUGAAAGUACAACAAAGCACAAAAAAAAAACUUGCACAAAAUAAUUUAUUGCCCCGAAGAAAAAACAUCGGUUUAAUAUGCAACCAAUACACAGACCCAGUACUUACAUUUUUCAACAGGUUAAAUACAAAAAUUCUCCUUUUGUUCUGUUGCUUUCUACCGAAAAAGUAUUAUAUUUUUUGUAUUUGUAUAUUUAUGAUAUCGUGUAAGGGGUCUGCAAUGGGAAAUGGAUAUAUUAAGUGCUCAACCUUAUUCAGUAAAGGAUAUAUAUAUUUUCAUUACCAAAAAAAAAAAUUAAAGACAAGUACUGAAUAAGGUAGACGAGUUUAAUGUUUAUAUAUUUUUGUGAAUGGUUGCCUUAAAUUGUACUCAAUUUUUGUUUUAUUUACUGUUUAUACCAUGACGUAUAUUUGGGAAACAUGUAGUCGUAUCUUUUUGUCUUCCGUAUGUAGACCGUUAUCUCAUAAGGUUUCACUUUCACGUGACGGGUUGUCUUGUAGUGGUUUUAUAAGGUGGUACAUGUACCGUAGAUGCCCUAGGAGUAAGAAUGUUAUCGUUGAACUGCUCAGGCGUAAACAGUGGCUUUCAUGUGAGAUCCUCUAAAAGCUGCGGGAUGAAACGAAACAGUUAAAUUUUUACUGCCGCCAUUUGAAGCUCUAAUGGCCAGUGUGGUAUUUUUUUAUUUGGCCCGCGGGAUACCAGCACUUCCACACUGCCAUAGUAGACCAUCUGGUUGGAGGAACCAGCAUUAUGUUUGGGCAGUUCAUUUAUGGGUGUCUGUUGUUUUUUGUUGUUUUUUAGUAUAAAGAACUGUUACAAGUGAGGGUUUUUAUUAUCGGUGUGAGAAGAGAAAAUAAAAUAAAAAGAAAGGAAAAAGAUCGAAAAACCAAUACGGUCGUACAUUUUAGUCAUCAAUUUCAGUGAUGUAAAUUUAAAUACAUGUUCCAAUACAAAUGGAGUUGUCCCAACUGGGCUUGUAUGGGUGAUUCCAUUAAAAAUGGGGGUGAUAGAAUUGUUCUGUUUCCAACACCUCUCGUUGGAAAAGAUGCAAAAAACUACAGAUGGCAGUUCUGAACUCAAGAAUAGUUUGGCACGACGCUUUAUUAACUUAUUCUAAUAUCACGGUACCCUCACGUUAAUGUAUGUGCUGUAAUUAAAAAUUUGAGUAUGUUAAGGAUGUUAAUAGAGGGACUUUGUAACAGUUGUAACAAGUGGUUUGUUAAUUAAUUAAGUGGUUAUUAAUAUUCAUGUUAACAAAAUGUGACGCUUUACAAAUUGCAGCCUCUCUAAGAAUAUUGAACUUGAAAUUAUGAAUCAGUUUUUAGGAUUUGAUUGAGCUCAUAUAUUUGCAGAUUUAACAGUGACCGUAAUUUCAAUUUCAAGAUAGGUUUGUCACCCCAAACGAGGUUAUUUGUAAAGCGUAGCAACAUGUACUUUGCUAACAACGUUCAUUACUUUUGUCAUAAACCAAACCAAAUGCCCACCGCACGGAGCCCGUCAGCUGAGUGCUAAACCGAACCCAACAGGGCCCUGGCCAAUGAGAACGCAGCGAGGACUGACGCUGUCAUUGACUAAGCCAGCGACUAACCCCUCAAGCAUCAGCUGCACAGGGUCACAAGCAUUAAGUCUCCCCCCUCUCCUACCUACAACCACAGUGGCUGCUGGUCUAGUUACCAGUUUGUGGCAAUUGCCUGGUACCCUGCGGCCGACCGUCAUCUACUCCAGGAGAUCAUCUGUAGCGUGUACUUACACCAAGCACUGUUUUUUUGUCUCCAAAUAACCAAGUCUAGUCUU
Molecule: unclassified non-coding RNA, 8836 nt
Filed under: Acanthaster planci (crown-of-thorns starfish)
Lineage: Eukaryota; Metazoa; Echinodermata; Asteroidea; Valvatida; Acanthasteridae
Description: protein quaking-A-like, transcript variant X6
Source: RNAcentral